UGGAUCAAUGAUGAGUAUGCGUGAGGCAUCUGAACCAAGUCCUCUGAUUAAACUGUCUGUAACUCUGAGGUCUUU
Molecule: small nucleolar RNA, 75 nt
Organism: Cavia aperea (Brazilian guinea pig)
Lineage: Eukaryota; Metazoa; Chordata; Mammalia; Rodentia; Caviidae
Product: small nucleolar RNA, C/D box 113-7
Source: Ensembl